AACGAACGCUGGCGGCAUGCCUAACACAUGCAAGUCGAACGAGACCUUCGGGUCUAGUGGCGCACGGGUGCGUAACGCGUGGGAACCUGCCCUUAGGUUCGGAAUAACUCCCCGAAAGGGGUGCUAAUACCGGAUAAUGUCUUCGGACCAAAGAUUUAUCGCCUUUGGAUGGGCCCGCGUUGGAUUAGCUAGUUGGUAGGGUAAAAGCCUACCAAGGCGACGAUCCAUAGCUGGUCUGAGAGGAUGAUCAGCCCCACUGGGACUGAGACACGGCCCAGACUCCUACGGGAGGCAGCAGUGGGGAAUAUUGGACAAUGGGCGAAAGCCUGAUCCGGCAAUGCCGCGUGAGUGAUGAAGGCCUUAGGGUUGUAAAGCUCUUUUACCCGGGAUGAUAAUGACAGUACCGGGAGAAUAAGCGCCGGCUAACUCCGUG
RNAcentral lists this ribosomal RNA (433 nucleotides) under uncultured bacterium. Its description in RNAcentral is "partial 16S ribosomal RNA". It matches the Rfam family "Bacterial small subunit ribosomal RNA", at positions 29 to 507 of the family's 1533-position model. The record is from RNAcentral.